AUUGAACGCUGGAGGCGUGCUUAACACAUGCAAGUCGUGCGAGAAAGGGACUUCGGUCCUGAGUAGAGCGGCGCACGGGUGAGUAACGCGUGGGUAAUCUCCCUUGGUGACCGGGAUAACAGCGGGAAACUGCUGCUAAUACCGGAUAAUCUUCAUGUUUAACUUCAUGGGGUAAAGGUGGCCUCUGCUUGCAAGCUACCACACCGAGAUGAGCCCGCGUCUCAUUAGCUAGUUGGUAGGGUAAUGGCCUACCAAGGCUACGAUGAGUAGCUGGUCUGAGAGGAUGACCAGCCACACUGGGACUGGAACACGGCCCAGACUCCUACGGGUGGCAG
Molecule: ribosomal RNA, 335 nt
Filed under: uncultured Pseudomonadota bacterium
Lineage: Bacteria; Pseudomonadati; Pseudomonadota
Description: bacterial SSU rRNA
Rfam family: Bacterial small subunit ribosomal RNA
Source: RNAcentral